Molecule: long non-coding RNA, 389 nt
Organism: Parus major (Great Tit)
Lineage: Eukaryota; Metazoa; Chordata; Aves; Passeriformes; Paridae
Exons: 3
Source: RefSeq, a predicted model, not a curated record
CCUACUGACCUUUCCGAGAAAGAAAGCUUGAUGCUGGUCUUCCUUGUUUAGAGAAAGCUCCUGAAACUUAUGAAAGACUAAACAGAACAUAGUUGUUGGAGUUGAAGGGAUGAGAAAGAAAAUACUAAAGUGCACAUCUCAUAAGAAAAACUGUCACCAGAGCUGGUUACAGCUCACGCCUGCAAAUGCAAAAGUUUUAUGAAGACAACAGUGCACAGGAAGACUUGCUAGGCUAUGGAUUAAGCCAAUUAUUUAGAGAAGAUGGUGUGCACAAGGAAAGCUCAGAACUCAAAAGCAGAGAUUAGGUGUCUUUCUAAGAAGAAUAGGUGGAGGGACAAGAUUUGUGGGGAAAAAACCUGCUGAAGAAAAUGUUCCCCUUACUGUGAAAA